Acanthosepion pharaonis is the source of this 111-nucleotide non-coding RNA. Lineage: Eukaryota; Metazoa; Mollusca; Cephalopoda; Sepiida; Sepiidae. The record is from the annotation of a GenBank genome assembly.
UACAGCCAUAUCACAUUGAAACAUCGAUUCCUGUAUGAUCACUGAAGUUAAGCAAUGCCAAGCUUGGUCAGUACCUAGAUGGGUGACAGCUUGGGAAUAACAGGUGCUAUA